UACAGAGGUCUCAAGCGUUGUUCGGAUUCAUUGGGCGUAAAGGGUGCGUAGGCGGCGCGGUAAGUCGGGUGUGAAAUCUUGGAGCUUAACUCCGAAACUGCAUUCGAUACUGCCGUGCUUGAGGACUGGAGAGGAGACUGGAAUUUACGGUGUAGCGGUGAAAUGCGUAGAUAUCGUAAGGAAGACCAGUGGCGAAGACGGGUCUCUGGACAGUUCCUGACGCUGAGGCACGAAGGCCAGGGGAGCAAACGGG
Molecule: ribosomal RNA, 253 nt
Filed under: uncultured bacterium
Lineage: Bacteria
Description: partial 16S ribosomal RNA
Rfam family: Bacterial small subunit ribosomal RNA
Source: RNAcentral